CAGUAGCCGCGGUAAUACGAGGGGGGCAAGCGUUGUUCGGAAUUAUUGGGCGUAAAGGGUGCGUAGGCGGUUUCGCAAGUCUUGUGUGAAAUCUAUGGGCUCAACCCAUAGUCUGCAUAGGAAACUGCGAGGCUUGAGGAUGGGAGAGGUGAGUGGAAUUUCCGGUGUAGCGGUGAAAUGCGUAGAUAUCGGAAGGAACACCUGUGGCGAAAGCGGCUCACUGGACCAUUUCUGACGCUGAUGCACGAAAGCUAGGGGAGCAAACAGGAUUAGAGACCCCGGUAGUCCCUGUCUCUUAUAA
This 301-nucleotide ribosomal RNA is filed under the name uncultured bacterium. RNAcentral describes it as "partial 16S ribosomal RNA". It matches the Rfam family "Bacterial small subunit ribosomal RNA", at positions 509 to 809 of the family's 1533-position model. The record is from RNAcentral.